AACGAACGCUGGCGGCGUGCUUAACACAUGCAAGUCGAACGGAAAGGCCCUGCUUUUGGGCGGUGGUCUGGGGGCGGCCGGGGGAGUAACACGUGAGUAACCUGCCCUUGACUUUGGGAUAACUUCAGGCAACUGGGUCUAAUACGGGAUAGGAGCUCCUGCUUCAGGGUGGGGGUUGGAAAGUUUCGGUGGUUGGGGAUGGACUCGCGGCUUAUCAGCUUGUUGGGUGGGUAGUGGCUUACCAAGGCUUUGCCGGGUAGCCGUCCUGAGAGGGUGACCUGCCACGUUGGGACUGAGAUACGGCCCGGCCUCCAAUGCGAGGCAGCGGUGGGGAAUAUUGCACAAUGGGAGGAAGCCAGAUGCAGCAAAGCCGCGUGCCGGAUGAGGGGAAUCCGGUUGUAAACCGCUUUCGUCUGUGCCGAAGUGUGAGUGACGGUACUGGGUAAAGAAGCUCCGGCUAACUACGUG
This 468-nucleotide ribosomal RNA is filed under the name uncultured bacterium. RNAcentral's name for it is "partial 16S ribosomal RNA". It matches the Rfam family "Bacterial small subunit ribosomal RNA", at positions 28 to 507 of the family's 1533-position model. The record is from RNAcentral.